AUGCUGACUUCAGCAGCACAUAUUCUCAAGCUGGAACAAUACAAAGAAUAGCAUGCCCCUUGUUCAAGGAUGACACACACGCACAUUCAUGAAGUUUUCUAUAUUUUA
This is a small nuclear RNA of Monodelphis domestica (gray short-tailed opossum), 108 nucleotides long. The record is from Ensembl. NCBI's taxonomy places the organism in Eukaryota, Metazoa, Chordata, Mammalia, Didelphimorphia, Didelphidae.